RNAcentral lists this ribosomal RNA (2921 nucleotides) under Lactiplantibacillus pentosus. RNAcentral describes it as "23S ribosomal RNA". It matches the Rfam family "Bacterial large subunit ribosomal RNA". The record is from RNAcentral. Lineage: Bacteria; Bacillati; Bacillota; Bacilli; Lactobacillales; Lactobacillaceae.
GGUUAAGUUAACAAGGGCGCAUGGUGAAUGCCUUGGCACUAGGAGCCGAUGAAGGACGGGACUAACACCGAUAUGCUUCGGGGAGCUGUACGUAAGCUAUGAUCCGGAGAUUUCCGAAUGGGGCAACCCAGCAGUUUUAAUCAACUGUUACCACUAGAUGAAUUCAUAGUCUAGUUGGAGGUAAACGCUGUGAACUGAAACAUCUCAUUAGCAGCAGGAAUAUAAAGAAAUUUCGAUUCCCUAAGUAGCGGCGAGCGAACGGGGAACAGCCCAAACCAAAGUGCUUGCACUUUGGGGUUGUAGGACUGAACAUUUGAGUUACCAAAGAACUUGAUAGUCGAAGGAUUUGGGAAAAUCCGCCAUAGAUGGUGAUAGCCCAGUAGAUUAAAUCAAAUUCUCUCAGUUCAGGAUCCUGAGUACGGCGGAACACGUGAAAUUCCGUCGGAAUCCGGGAGGACCAUCUCCCAAGGCUAAAUACUACCUAGUGACCGAUAGUGAACCAGUACCGUGAGGGAAAGGUGAAAAGCACCCCGGGAGGGGAGUGAAAUAGUUCCUGAAACCAUGUGCCUACAAUAAGUCAGAGCGCGUUAAUGCGUGAUGGCGUGCCUUUUGUAGAAUGAACCGGCGAGUUAUGAUCCCGUGCAAGGUUAAGACUAAAAAGUCGGAGCCGUAGCGAAAGCGAGUCUGAAAUGGGCGAUUUGAGUACGAGGUUAUAGACCCGAAACCAGGUGACCUAUCCAUGUCCAGGUUGAAGGUGCGGUAAAACGCACUGGAGGACCGAACCCGUGUAAGUUGAAAAUUGCUGGGAUGAGGUGUGGAUAGCGGUGAAAUUCCAAACGAACUUGGAGAUAGCUGGUUCUCUCCGAAAUAGCUUUAGGGCUAGCCUCGGAUUAAGGAUCAUGGAGGUAGAGCACUAUUUGGACUAGGGGCCCGUCUUGGGUUACUGAAUUCAGAUAAACUCCGAAUGCCAUUGAUUCAUGUCCGGGAGUCAGACGAUGAGUGAUAAGAUCCACCGUCGAAAGGGGAACAGCCCAGACCAUCAGUUAAGGUCCCUAAAUGUAUGCUAAGUGGAAAAGGAUGUGGAGUUGCAUAGACAACUAGGAUGUUGGCUCAGAAGCAGCCACCAUUUAAAGAGUGCGUAAUAGCUCACUAGUCGAGUGAUCCUGCGCCGAAAAUGUACCGGGGCUAAGCAUACUACCGAAACCAUGGAUGCGACCAUUAGGUCGUGUGAUAGGAGAGCGUUCUAAGGGCGGUGAAGCAAGAUCGUGAGGACUUGUGGAGCGCUUAGAAGUGAGAAUGCCGGUAUGAGUAGCGAAAGAUAGGUGAGAAUCCUAUCCACCGAAUGACUAAGGUUUCCUGGGGAAGGCUCGUCCUCCCAGGGUUAGUCGGGACCUAAGUCGAGGCCGAGAGGCGUAGACGAUGGAUAACAGGUUGAGAUUCCUGUACUAGUUAAGUGCGUUUGAGCAAUGGAGGGACGCAGGAGGCUAAGAUGUGCAUUCUGUUGGAUUAGAAUGUCCAAGCAGUAAGUUUUGUGGAGAGUCAAAUGCUUUUCACUUUAAGGACAAGCUGUGAUGGGGAGCGAAAUUUAGUAGCGAAGCGUCUGAUGUCACACUGCCGAGAAAAGCUUCUAGUGAGUACUUAACUACCCGUACCGCAAACCGACACAGGUAGUCGAGGAGAGAAUCCUAAGGUGAGCGAGUGAACUCUCGUUAAGGAACUCGGCAAAAUGACCCCGUAACUUCGGGAGAAGGGGUGCUGAUCGCAAGAUCAGCCGCAGUGAAUAGGCCCAGGCGACUGUUUAUCAAAAACACAGGUCUCUGCAAAAUCGUAAGAUGACGUAUAGGGGCUGACGCCUGCCCGGUGCUGGAAGGUUAAAAGGAUGGGUUAGCUUCGGCGAAGCUCAGAAUUGAAGCCCCAGUAAACGGCGGCCGUAACUAUAACGGUCCUAAGGUAGCGAAAUUCCUUGUCGGGUAAGUUCCGACCCGCACGAAAGGCGUAACGAUCUGGGCACUGUCUCAACGAGAGACUCGGUGAAAUUAUAUUGUCCGUGAAGAUGCGGACUACCCGCGACAGGACGGAAAGACCCCAUGGAGCUUUACUGUAGCUUGAUAUUGAGUGUUUGUACAGCUUGUACAGGAUAGGUAGGAGCCAUAGAAACCGGAACGCUAGUUUCGGUGGAGGCGUUGGUGGGAUACUACCCUCGCUGUAUGACCACUCUAACCCGCACCACUAAUCGUGGUGGGAGACAGUGUCAGGUGGGCAGUUUGACUGGGGCGGUCGCCUCCUAAAAAGUAACGGAGGCGCCCAAAGGUUCCCUCAGAAUGGUUGGAAAUCAUUCGCAGAGUGUAAAGGCACAAGGGAGCUUGACUGCGAGACAGACAGGUCGAGCAGGGACGAAAGUCGGGCUUAGUGAUCCGGUGGUACCGUAUGGAAGGGCCAUCGCUCAACGGAUAAAAGCUACCCUGGGGAUAACAGGCUUAUCUCCCCCAAGAGUCCACAUCGACGGGGAGGUUUGGCACCUCGAUGUCGGCUCAUCGCAUCCUGGGGCUGUAGUCGGUCCCAAGGGUUGGGCUGUUCGCCCAUUAAAGCGGUACGCGAGCUGGGUUCAGAACGUCGUGAGACAGUUCGGUCCCUAUCCGUCGCGGGCGUAGGAAAUUUGAGAGGACCUGUCCUUAGUACGAGAGGACCGGGAUGGACAUACCUCUGGUGUACCAGUUGUGCCGCCAGGCGCAUCGCUGGGUAGCUACGUAUGGAUGUGAUAAACGCUGAAAGCAUCUAAGUGUGAAACACACCUCGAGAUGAGAUUUCCCAUUCCUUUAUGGAAGUAAGACCCCUGAAAGAUGAUCAGGUAGAUAGGUUAGAAGUGGCAGUGCGGCGACGCAUGAAGCGGACUAAUACUAAUCGGUCGAGGACUUAACCAA